GACGAACGCUGGCGGCGUGCUUAACACAUGCAAGUCGAGCGGUAAGGCCCUUCGGGGUACACGAGCGGCGAACGGGUGAGUAACACGUGGGUGACCUGCCUCUAGCUCUGGGAUAAGCCUGGGAAACUGGGUCUAAUACCGGAUAUGACUCCAUGGCGCAUGUUGUGGGGUGGAAAGCCUUGUGUGGCUAGAGAUGGGCCCGCGGCCUAUCAGCUUGUUGGUGGGGNGAUGGCCUACCAAGGCGACGACGGGUAGCCGGCCUGAGAGGGCGACCGGCCACACUGGGACUGAGACACGGCCCAGACUCCUACGGGAGGGCAGCAGUGGGGAAUCUUGCGCAAUGGGCGAAAGCCUGACGCAGCGACGCCGCGUGAGGGAUGACGGCCUGGUGUAAC
This 395-nucleotide ribosomal RNA is filed under the name uncultured bacterium. Its description in RNAcentral is "bacterial SSU rRNA". It matches the Rfam family "Bacterial small subunit ribosomal RNA", at positions 28 to 429 of the family's 1533-position model. The record is from RNAcentral.